CCUACGGGUGACAGCAGUGAGGAAUAUUGGUCAAUGGGCGCGAGCCUGACCCAGCCAAGUAGCGUGAAGGAUGACUGCCCUACGGGUUGUAAACUUCUUUUAUCAAGGAAUAAAGUGAGGCACGUGUGCCUUUUUGUAUGUACUUUAUGAAUAAGGAUCGGCUACCUCCGUGCCAGCAGCCGCGGUAAUACGGAGGGUCCGAGCGUUAUCCGGCUUUAUUGGGUUUAAAGGGAGCGUCGAUGGGUUGUUCAGUCAGUUGUGAAAGUUUGCGGCUCAACCGUAAAAUUGCAAUUGAUACUGGCAGUCUUGAGUACAGUUGAGGUAGGCGGAAUUCGUGGUGUAGCGGUGAAAUGCUUAGAUAUCACGAAGAACUCCGAUUGCGAAGGCAGCUUACUAAACUGCCACUGACAUUGAUGCUCGAAAGUGUGGGUAUCAAACAGGAUUAGAUACCCCAGUAGUC
Molecule: ribosomal RNA, 460 nt
Filed under: uncultured bacterium
Lineage: Bacteria
Description: partial 16S ribosomal RNA
Rfam family: Bacterial small subunit ribosomal RNA
Source: RNAcentral